AUGUGCAGGGCAGAUGAUCUGCAAACAUUCAAUGAAUUAGACUGGUGUGCCUUUAAUGUGCAAUGAACUCUACAAGUAAUUACACUGAUUCUGGAUCCCACAUCACAUGCUCCCUGACUUAUGACAUCACAACACGUGCCCAGGAGCCAAAGACUGAGACUCUGUGUCUAGCAGCCUGCACAUCUAUCUUGGAGGAUUUGCUGGGCAUGCACAUAUACAUUGUCCAAACACCAUUCUAAAAUCAAAGCCAUAAAGGAUUGAGUAUAAGACGUGAAUAUGAAAUUAGAAAAUGUGAGGAAAGGUUUCCUGCAGGAAUACAUGCAGGACAGGCUGAGAAGAGACUUGGCUCUGAAGGUGCCAGCCAGGGGAAGGCAGAUCAUCUGAGUUAUUUCUGCAUGAAACAAAGGAUGCACAGAUGCUUAACAGGAGAAAAAAUGAAGAUACGGCUGAGAUCCUGUAUAUCAAAUUCUAUUGUCUUGAAUGCCUACAGAAAAAUCUGCAAUGGGUUCGAGGAGCUUACUCUACUCCUAAGCUGCUACAUGACAGAAGAAAAUCUACAAGGAUUUGCAAUGAAGAAUUACAGAUUUGGCCAAAAAUCAUCCCACACAGACCAUGAACAGAAGGUUCCUCUUGGCACUUCUACAAUCUUGGCCAGAUGUGUGAGUAUCAUCAAGAUCUAAUUUACUGAAAUCUUGGAACUGAGAUUCGGAUCCACAUGGAAUCCUCAAGUCACUUGCAAACUUGCUCAUCGUUUGAACCACUAAAACCAAAUACACCUUUUAUCUUCUUUUAGCUUUUUCAUUUCUUUCACUUGAUAUUAUUUACAGUUCAUCAUUUUCCCACACGAAUGUUUGAGGCCAUAACACAGGCCUCUUUGUGACCUCAAAAUAGAUCCAGAACCGAAAGUUACUAGCAACAAAUGUACUGCCCAACUCAUCUGACAAAGAAGUGGCAUUCUGUUUUCCGUGAGUUCGGAAUUUGAAUUUACUGUAGAAGGUCUGAAGACUAUGACUAUCUUGGGCUCAAAGAGCAGCAGAUUUGCAGAGUGGAAUAAUUGCUGAUGAGGCCCUAAAAUGUAAACAUGGGAGAACAAGGGAGUAUUUCAGACCAGAUCUCCUCAGAUUAAGAAGACUGAGAUCCCAUCAUCAGUUGCACAUCUUACUAUUCUGUUUCUGUUUAAAGGAGUACAGUUCAAAACCUAAGUGGUAAUGGGCAGAUUUGCUUCGGAAAUGCAUUCCUGAUCCAAGCUAAAAAGUUAAUGCAGAUAUACCCAA
Numida meleagris (helmeted guineafowl) is the source of this 1274-nucleotide long non-coding RNA. RefSeq lists it as uncharacterized. The transcript is spliced from 5 exons. NCBI's taxonomy places the organism in Eukaryota, Metazoa, Chordata, Aves, Galliformes, Numididae. The record is from RefSeq and is a predicted model, not a curated record.